AGGUCCGUAACAAGGUUUCCGUAGGUGAACCUGCGAGGAUUUAUUCGUUGGGGUUCGGGCCCAUUCGAAGAUAACAGCCCUUGGCCUUUUUGAGUACCUUUUCCGAUUUGCCUCCGGCAGGCGUCGCCUGGCCAACGGGGACCCUUCAAAACGCUUUGUAAUACCUGUAAUCGUCUGAUAUAACAAGCAAAAAUCAAAA
Molecule: unclassified non-coding RNA, 199 nt
Filed under: plant metagenome
Description: partial contains small subunit ribosomal RNA and internal transcribed spacer 1
Source: RNAcentral